Molecule: ribosomal RNA, 213 nt
Filed under: uncultured archaeon
Lineage: Archaea
Description: partial 16S ribosomal RNA
Rfam family: Archaeal small subunit ribosomal RNA
Source: RNAcentral
UCGCCACGGUAAUACCAGCCCCGCGAGUGGUCGGGACGAUUAUUGGGCCUAAAGCGCCCGUAGCCGGCCUGGCAAGCCCCCUGCUGAAAUCCCCAGGCUCAACCUGGGGGACAGGCGGGGGUACUGCCAGGCUAGGGGGCGGGAGAGGCCGAGGGUACUCCUGGGGUAGGGGCGAAAUCCGAUAAUCCCGGGAGGACCACCAGUGGCGAAGGC